This 253-nucleotide ribosomal RNA is filed under the name uncultured bacterium. RNAcentral's name for it is "partial 16S ribosomal RNA". It matches the Rfam family "Bacterial small subunit ribosomal RNA", at positions 524 to 776 of the family's 1533-position model. The record is from RNAcentral.
UACGGGGGGGGCAAGCGUUGUUCGGAAUUACUGGGCGUAAAGGGCUCGUAGGUGGCCAACUAAGUCGGACGUGAAAUCCCUCAGCUUAACUGGGGAACUGCGUCCGAUACUGGAUGGCUUGAGUUUGGGAGAGGGAUGCGGAAUUCCAGGUGUAGCAGUGAAAUGCGUUGAUAUCAGGAGGAACACCCAUGGCGAAGGCAGCUAACUGGGCAUUAUCUGACGCUGAGGCGCGAAAGCGUGGGUAGCAAACAGG